This 606-nucleotide long non-coding RNA is filed under the name Equus caballus (horse). Its description in RNAcentral is "lncRNA (ENSECAG00000043308.2)". The record is from RNAcentral. Lineage: Eukaryota; Metazoa; Chordata; Mammalia; Perissodactyla; Equidae.
GUGGGAAUUCCUCUUUCCUGACAUCUUUCCAGGCUGCUUCUCUGAGAUACUUCAUCUACCACUUCUGUCAAGAUCCUCUUUAAAGCUCCCCCGUCCAGUGUAAUUUUUUCUAAUAACGCUCUCCAUGCUGGCUCAUUGCUGUGCUCCCAUCAAUACACUCACUGCUCUCUCUGGGCCUCUGAGUCCUGCCUUGCUCCUGUGAUGCCUUGCCGGCUCCCUGCUACAUAAAAUGGAAUUUUCAGCCCUCACCCGAGUGAACUCCCUGUGGGUUAUUGUCCAAAUCUCUCCACGGGAUAUGAGGCAGCUCUCUCCACUGGCGAGGGAGGAUGGGGAGUAAGAAUGAAGAGGAGAGAAAGAGAAUGAGAGGAGGGCCUCACAGCUGGAGGAGAUGAGAACUAAGGUUCUCAAGCUACUAUUGUUGCAUCAGUCUCCUCUCUCCGUGCCUCUACAGUGUGUGAUGUCUUUCCACUCCAAUGCAACUUUCAAAGCCAAACCAUUUAUGAGGGCUCUCCCCAGGACAUUAUAGCAUGUCAUGGGACAUGAUGUAUCUUAUCAGCACUUCAGGGGCACGCUCCCGAAUUUCUUCAAAAACCACAGCUAAGUACC